AGAGUUUGAUCAUGGCUCAGGAUAAACGCUGGCGGCGCGCAUAAGACAUGCAAGUCGAACGGAAGUCGUUAUAAAAGGAGAGAAGAUUUAUCGGAUUGAAUUUUAUAACAAUGGCUUUAGUGGCGGACUGGUGAGUAACGCGUAAGGAACCUACCUAUUAGAGGGGAACAACAAUGAGAAAUCAUUGCUAAUACCGCAUAUGCCAUAACUACCGCAUGGUAGAAGUUGGAAAGGAGUAAUUCGCUGAUAG
Molecule: ribosomal RNA, 250 nt
Filed under: uncultured bacterium
Lineage: Bacteria
Description: partial 16S ribosomal RNA
Rfam family: Bacterial small subunit ribosomal RNA
Source: RNAcentral